Molecule: long non-coding RNA, 743 nt
Filed under: Trifolium pratense (red clover)
Lineage: Eukaryota; Viridiplantae; Streptophyta; Magnoliopsida; Fabales; Fabaceae
Description: long non-coding RNA (TPRA_LNC013692)
Source: RNAcentral
CAGAACAGCUGUAGUCCAUAUGAAUCACACAUGAAAGGAAAAUCCAAAUUUCCUUAUCAUGUACAUUGAAGCACAUUAAAAAGGGGGUGAUACUGAAUUAAACAAAAAGGGAAAUUUCUCAUUCACUCGUAAAAUCAAAUUGAAGAGCCAUAAUCUCAUUCCUUGCUUAUAAAUAGCAAUCAUUCAACAAAAAAAAGGGGGGAGAUUACACGCAAAGAAGAAAAAUCACCGUGAGAAAAUUACCCGUAGAACUAAAAGCUAUACAACAACCAGAAACAAAAAAACUUAAUCUAAUAGCCACCGCCUCCAUAUUCAGCAACACAGACCUUGCACCAAACACAGAAGAAUCUCCGAGAGAACCACUGAGAAACUAGAACCGAAAAUAACAUCUAAACAGCAACUUUACCCAAACCGCAAAAAGCCAAUAGCAAGAGAAAGUUUUCUAACUCGUGGAACUCACUGCAGUCCAGAUAACUCUUUUCCUUAAUUUUCCAGCCUCUGAUUGUUGUAUGUAGGAUGUAUUUGUUUGAUUUUUGAACUGGGUUCGUAGUAAAAAGAUAAAAAAAACGAAUAGAUCUAAAGCUUUUUGUUUGAAUCUGUUUAGUUGGGUUUUGCGGUUUUGAGAGCCUAAUUCAGGUCUAAAAUUAGUAAUUAAGAACUUGGGAAGAGAUUUGGGAAUUUUUUUUUUAAAAAAAAAAAAGGAAAAAAGGGGUUUCCGGUGGCGCCGUGCCGGUUCGGCAGCC